Molecule: transfer RNA, 73 nt
Filed under: Paramuricea clavata
Lineage: Eukaryota; Metazoa; Cnidaria; Anthozoa; Malacalcyonacea; Plexauridae
Rfam family: tRNA
About the family: Transfer RNA (tRNA) molecules are approximately 80 nucleotides in length. Their secondary structure includes four short double-helical elements and three loops (D, anti-codon, and T loops).
Source: Rfam by way of RNAcentral
GCCUCUGGAACUCAGUUGGUUAGAGCGCUGCAUCGAAAUCGCAGGACAGCAGGUUCAAUUCCUGCCAGAGGUC